GUGGUGUUGAAAGGAAACAAUGAACAUGCCUGAAUACCUUACGCUGGGGAGAUUUAGUUAAGGGUAUUCCAUUUUGAUGCACAAGUCACGUUGUCGUUCCAGGAAGGUCAGCACUACUUUGGAGCCUGUGAAGGUCACCCAGCUGGUGCUUUGCGUUUGAAGGUAAAGACCACUUUCGAGUGUGAGCUGUACAGAUGCCAUCAUCAAUUCCAAUGGAAUUAUUUUUAAGUUAAGAGAGUUUUCCAGCAGUCAGAGCAGACCUGUCCACCCCAAGAACCAUCAGUGACCCAGUCCCCAGUGCACCAACCAACUCACCACCUUGGAAAGAGC
Molecule: long non-coding RNA, 330 nt
Filed under: Crocodylus porosus (Australian saltwater crocodile)
Lineage: Eukaryota; Metazoa; Chordata; Crocodylia; Crocodylidae
Description: lncRNA (ENSCPRG00005003282.1)
Source: RNAcentral